AUAGCCUCUGGCUAUAGGAAAUUGUUAGUGGCAGACGGGUGAGUAAUGCGUAGGAAUCUACCUAGUAGUACGGAAUAGCCAUUAGAAAUGGUGGGUAAUACUGUAUAAUCCCCGAGGGGGAAAGAUUUAUCGCUAUUAGAUGAGCCUACGUUAGAUUAGCUAGUUGGUGAGGUAAUGGCUUACCAAGGCUAUGAUCUAUAGCUGGUCUGAGAGGACGAUCAGCCACACUGGAACUGAGAUACGGUCCAGACUCCUACGGGAGGCAGCAGUGGGGAAUAUUGGACAAUGGGCGAAAGCCUGAUCCAGCUAUGCCGCGUGAGUGAAGAAGGCCUUCGGGUUGUAAAACUCUUUCAAUAGGGAAGAUAAUGACGGUACCUAUAGAAGAAGU
This 388-nucleotide ribosomal RNA is filed under the name Ehrlichia canis. RNAcentral describes it as "bacterial SSU rRNA". It matches the Rfam family "Bacterial small subunit ribosomal RNA", at positions 73 to 491 of the family's 1533-position model. The record is from RNAcentral. Lineage: Bacteria; Pseudomonadati; Pseudomonadota; Alphaproteobacteria; Rickettsiales; Anaplasmataceae.